UGUCGUAUUAUAGUGUUAAGGGUUUAAGAUCAACUGUUUAGUGUCUAAGGUGUUGUUGUUGGGUUUAAGGUUUACUAUAUUGAUUUAGGGUUUAGUGUAUUUUAUUUAGGGUUUAACGCUUAUGAUUUAGUUAGGAUUUAAGAUUUAUUAUUUAGCUAGGGUUUAGGGUUUACGAUUUUGGGUUUAGUAUUUAGAAUUUAAAGUUUAAGGUUUAAAAUUUGGUAAGGUUUUAGGGUUUACUAUUUUGGGUUUUGGGUUUAGUUUUAUGACAUUGAAGUAUAAAUUAUUUUAGAUAGCCAACCAACAAUUUUACUAGAUGGUAAAUUAUGACGAUAAUAACUUUUUUAGAAUUUUAGCCAUACAAUUUUAAUAGUUUACUCCCUACUUAUAGAUGCUUAGUUUCGAAAACAAUACAAAUUAUUCACACGAAUUAUUGUAU
RNAcentral lists this long non-coding RNA (439 nucleotides) under Brassica napus (rape). Its description in RNAcentral is "long non-coding RNA (BNAP_LNC012993)". The record is from RNAcentral. Lineage: Eukaryota; Viridiplantae; Streptophyta; Magnoliopsida; Brassicales; Brassicaceae.